Molecule: ribosomal RNA, 458 nt
Filed under: uncultured bacterium
Lineage: Bacteria
Description: SSU rRNA
Rfam family: Bacterial small subunit ribosomal RNA
Source: RNAcentral
AGAAUCAACGCUGGCGGCGUGCCUAACACAUGCAAGUCGAACGAGAAAGUGGAGCAAUCCAUGAGUAAAGUGGCGCACGGGUGAGUAACACGUGACUAACCUACCCUUGAGUGGGGAAUAACUUCGGGAAACCGAGGCUAAUACCGCAUAAUACCUACGGGUCAAAGGAGCAAUUCGCUUAAGGAGGGGUCGCGGCAGAUUAGUUAGUUGGCAGGGUAAUGGCCUACCAAGACGGUGAUCUGUAUCCGGCCUGAGAGGGCGCACGGACACACUGGAACUGAAACACGGUCCAGACUCCUACGGGAGGCAGCAGUGGGAAUUUUGCGCAAUGGGGGAAACCCUGACGCAGCAACGCCGCGUGGAGGAUGAAGUCCCUUGGGACGUAAACUCCUUUCGAUCGGGACGAUUAUGACGGUACCGGAAGAAGAAGCCCCGGCUAACUUCGUGCCAGCAGCCGC